This 725-nucleotide ribosomal RNA is filed under the name Ostreopsis sp. ind-13. RNAcentral describes it as "SSU rRNA". It matches the Rfam family "Eukaryotic small subunit ribosomal RNA", at positions 459 to 1205 of the family's 1831-position model. Lineage: Eukaryota; Dinophyceae; Peridiniales; Ostreopsidaceae. The record is from RNAcentral.
GGGAGGUAGUGAAGAAUACAUACAGGCAUCCAUGUCUUGUACUUGGAAUGAAUUGGGUGUACAACUUUCUCUUAGUAUCAAUUGGAGGGCAAGUCUGGUGCCAGCAGCCGCGGUAAUUCCAGCUCCAAUGGCAUAUAUUAAAGUUGUUGCAGUUGAAAAGCUCGUAGUUGAAUGUUUGCUAAUGAUGGCUGGUCCGCCCUUUGGGCGAGUAUCUGGCACACCAUUUGCACAUGCUUUGACUGAUGCCUGCACUUGAUUGUGUGGGGUUGUUCAAUGCACCUUUAUUUUGAAGAAAUUAAAGCGCUCUUGGCAGGCUAUUGCCAUGCAUGCACCAGCAUGGAAUAAUGAUGUCAUGAUUUAUUUUGUUGGUUUUUAAGUACAUGAGCAUUCAAAUAGGGAUAGUUGGGGGCAUUUGAAUUUUAUUGUCAGAUGUGAAAUUCUUGGAUUUAUAAACGUCAAACAAAGGCGAAAGCAUUUGCCAUGGAUGUUUUCACUGAUCAAGAACGAAAGUUAGGGGAUCGAAGACGAUCAGAUACCGUCCUAGUCCUAACCAUAAACUAUGCCACCUAGGAGUUGAAUGUUGUUACAUUGCUGAUAUGUGCAGUACCUGUGAGAAAUCAAAGUUUUUGGGUUCUGGGGGGAGUAUGGUCGCAAGGCUGAAACUUAAAGGAAUUGACGGAAGGGCACCACCAGGAGUGGAGCCUGCGGCUUAAUUUGCUUCCACA